UGCAGGAGAGCAGAGAGCAGGGGAAGGGAAAGUCCAGGGGAACCACUGGAUGGAUUUGGUGCUUCCAACACCUUCAAAAUCAGCCAGCACAAAAGGGCAGGCUAGAGCACCUGCAGCAGAGGAGAAGAGCACACACCUGCUGCCAGCAGGUAUUGCACAGCUCCUACAAGCCCCAUUCUGCCCAACAAGUCCUCAGAGGUUACACACAGCUGAAUUAACACCAGCCCAAAACCCCUGGGAAGGUAAAGCAGCAGCUCAGGCUCACACAGAACUUGGCCAGCCCAAAUUUGAGGGGCACAGUCACAGAACUGGGCAAUUCCAACAAGCCCCAGCAGUGACCCCACAGAUACACCAGCCCUGCAGAGUCACAGCUUCCAAAGCCCUGGACUUCCAACAAGUCCUGCCCGAAACUUCACAGCUCUGUGGAGCAAAUGGCAUCAGAAAGGUGAGCAAAUGCAGACAUAGAGCUGCACAGGGGCAGAAACACCCUGGGCUGUGGUGUGUGACUGCUGUAGCAAAAGUUUGGACUCCAGUCUCUGUAAAUAGAAAUGUUUGGCCCAGUCAGCACAUGGAUUAUUUGCUGCCAGCACAACAGAGCAGAUGCCUUUGUUCUGGAUGGGUUGAAUUUAGGGAAUUGCUAAAGGAUGGAAUAAAAUGAAUAAACACUUUCAUUUUUGGCA
Long non-coding RNA from Passer domesticus (house sparrow), 680 nucleotides. RefSeq lists it as uncharacterized. The transcript has 2 exons. The record is from RefSeq and is a predicted model, not a curated record. Lineage: Eukaryota; Metazoa; Chordata; Aves; Passeriformes; Passeridae.